UCUGUCUUCACGGUCGGUGGUGCAGUUUGUCCGGUGACUCUUUGUUCCUGUGGUUCACCUGCUGCCGUUUUGUUUAGGCCAGUUUACUGUUGGGUUUAUACUGUUUUGAUUUAGUUCAUAUUGUUUAUUUAGCAUUUUUGCUUGUUUUGUUUAUAUUGAUUGGGGUUAGCUUGUUGCCUUUCUCUUUAUAGUUUAGUUUCAGUUAGUUUGUGUUUCGCCAACUGGGAUUCCCCUUUGUUUGUUUAACCUUGUUUUCAGUUAUUUCUUAUUUCCGUUAGUAAAGCUGAGUGCCGGUCAUUGGAGGGGCUAGUCACCCUCACUAUUUGUUGUGGUGAAGAUCGCCGGGGAGCACGAGUGAGGACCUGUUUGCUUUGUGGUUUGCUGUGGCUGCACCUGUGUCCUACUCUCUUUAUGUUUAUAUCCUGGGGUGCAAGUCCCCAGGUGGCGUUGUCGGUCCCCCAUCCCACUUCAUUAUCAUUCAAAUUUAACCACACCACCCCGCCACAUUAAGUACAGUACAUGAGUAAAUGUCCAGAGGAGCAAUGAUAGAGAUCAUCCCAGGGUAGAAGACCAGGUAUAAAUGGCCAUGGGAUCAUUCCUGAAGUGACCUUUGACAUCAUUAUAUCAUGACUAAGCAUGAGCUGUGUGAACAUUCAUCUGGAAAAUGUAAAAACUUUAUUCACUGAUUUGUGACACAUUCAGCCUUCAACUAUUAACCUCCAGCAGACGGACGCAGAAAGAGGUUAUGAAUCGACAGAAAAAACAGUGUGCAUGUGGGAAGCAUGCUAAGAGUUUAAAUAUGUACACUUGUAUUUUCCACUUUUAAACAAAGACUCUUUUAUAACCAAGGCCAGAGGCGGCAUUGAUUGAUGUUCAACUUGGUCCAGCAAUGAACUCUUGUACUUGAGAUACUUGUUCAUGUCAGAGGGGAGGGGAUGGAGAUGGUGCAGGCCUGUUGAUGGUUAUGUUUAUUGUAUUAUCCUGUGAACCACUGUCCUGUUUUUCAUUCUUAUCUGUUGCUGCUUAAACCACAACAUUUCCCCAAGAGGAUUAAUAAAGGUAGAUCUUGUCCUUCACAUGGUGGGGCAUGGGUUUCUGUAGCUGCAACAACAGAUCCAAUAACAUUACCUUACUGAAAAGAAUUGUUAUGGAGGAGUGAUGCUGAUACUUAGUUUCCGGUGGCAACCUCUACAGAAUGUCCGAUCAGAACACAAAGGAGGAAAACGGCAUCCAGAGAAGUAUUAUUGAGUGUCAUUUAUUGAGUCUUCACACCCACAACACAGAGUACCGAAGUGAUUGUACUUGCUGAUAUAGUAGAUAGGUGUGUAAGGUCUGUAAGGUGUGGUUCUGUAACACAGAAAAGAAAGUAAAGACAUGUGUAUAAUGUCCUGCAAUAACUUUGUAGCCUACAACUUUGUGGCUUUGAAAUAGUUUAACUGAAGCUAAACAUGAAGCUAAACAUUAGGCUUACACAUAGCCCGCACACAUGCACCAUAAAUUAUUGUACAAAUAGCAUUAGCUAGCUCAAGAUGAGGCUAAACUGUGCUACAUCAGUAUCAGCAUGCCAAUCGCGAUUAGCAUAAAUUAGCAAGUCAGCGAAAAAUAAAGCGUAACUUGGGGCAUCCAACCAACAGUUAAGAUUGGAGGCUUGACAACUAACAUAUAAUCACUUAUAUGCACAAACUCACCAUUAGAUGCACGCACACCACCAAAGUAACAGAAAUGAGUGACUUAAACAAUGAGAGCUACAAGUAUAUAGGGCCAAGAGAUAGGGCCAAUUAACUGCCUGACCAAAUCACACUGACCAAUACAAGGAAUAAACAGAUCUGAAAACAAACAGAUGGGCUUUUGUACACUUACACCAGGCCCGGACUGGCCAUCGGGAGCAGCUGGAGGUGAUCCUGGUGACUUUGACCUUCCUUCUUUGGUGAAACUGAUAAGGUGUGUGUGUGUGUGUGUGUGUGUGUGUGUGUGUGUGUGUGUGUGUGUGUGUGUGUGUGUGUGUGUGUGUGUGUGUGUGUGUGU
Molecule: long non-coding RNA, 2025 nt
Organism: Eleginops maclovinus (Patagonian blennie)
Lineage: Eukaryota; Metazoa; Chordata; Actinopteri; Perciformes; Eleginopidae
Exons: 3
Source: RefSeq, a predicted model, not a curated record